UAGGGAAUCUUCGGCAAUGGGGGGAACCCUGACCGAGCAACGCCGCGUGAGUGAAGAAGGUUUUCGGAUCGUAAAGCUCUGUUGUUAAGGAAGAACGAGUGUGAGAAUGGAAAGUUCAUGCUGUGACGGUACUUAACCAGAAAGGGACGGCUAACUACGUGCCAGCAGCCGCGGUAAUACGUAGGUCCCGAGCGUUGUCCGGAUUUAUUGGGCGUAAAGCGAGCGCAGGCGGUUAGAAAAGUCUGAAGUGAAAGGCAGUGGCUCAACCAUUUAAGGCUUUGGAAACUGUUUAACUUGAGUGCAGAAGGGGAGAGUGGAAUUCCAUGUGUAGCGGUGAAAUGCGUAGAUAUAUGGAGGAACACCGGUGUCGAAAGCGGCUCUCUGGUCUGUAACUGACGCUGAGGCUCGAAAGCGUGGGGAGCGAACAGG
Molecule: ribosomal RNA, 429 nt
Filed under: Verrucomicrobiota bacterium
Lineage: Bacteria; Pseudomonadati; Verrucomicrobiota
Description: Verrucomicrobia bacterium partial 16S ribosomal RNA
Rfam family: Bacterial small subunit ribosomal RNA
Source: RNAcentral